RNAcentral lists this ribosomal RNA (2870 nucleotides) under Bacillus sp. UFRGS-B20. RNAcentral's name for it is "bacterial LSU rRNA". It matches the Rfam family "Bacterial large subunit ribosomal RNA". Lineage: Bacteria; Bacillati; Bacillota; Bacilli; Caryophanales; Bacillaceae. The record is from RNAcentral.
UGGUAAGUUAGAAAGGCGCACGGUGCGAUUGCCUUGACACUAGGAGUCGAUUGAAGACGGGACUAACGCCGAUAUGCUUCGGGGAUCGUAAGGAAGUUGGAUCCCGAAGAUUUCCGAAUGGGGAAACCCCACCAUACGUAAUGGUUAUGUAUCCGUAUCUGAAUACAUUAGUGUAAGAAGACAGGCCCAGGAAACUGAAACAUCUAAGACCUGGAGGAAGAGAAAGCAAAUGCAUUUCCUGAGUAGCGGGAGCGAAACGAACAUUAGCCCAAACAAGAGCUUGCCCUCUGUGGUUGUAGACAUUCUAUACGAGUUACAAAGGAACGAGGUAGGACGAAGCGACCUGGAAAGGUCCGUCGUAAGAGUGUAACAACCCCUAGUCAAACUUCGUUCUCUCUUGAAUGUAUCCUGAGUACGGCGAAACACGUGAAAUUCUGGUCCGGAAUCUGGAGGACCACUCUCCCAAGCUAAAUACUCCCUAGGGAUCGUAGUGAACCAGUACCUGAGGGAAAGUGAAAAAGCACCCCGGAAAGGGAUGAAAGAAUCCUAAACCGUGGCCUACAAAAGUCAGAGCCGUUAACGGGUGAUGGCUCGUCUUGUAGGAAAUGAACCGGCGAGUUCGAUCCCCGUGCGAGGUUAAGCUGAAGAGGCGGAGCCGCAGCGAAAGCGAGUCUGAAUAGGCGUUUAGUACGGGUCGUAGACCCGAAACCAGUCAUCUACCAUGUCCAGCGGAAGUUCAAGGGUAACACUGAAUGGAGGCCCGAACCCACGCGACGUUGAAAAGGCGGAUGAGGUUGGUAGCGGAGAAAUUCAAUCGAACCUGGAGAUAGCUGGUUCUCCCCUAAAUUAGCUUUAGCUAGCUUUAAGUGUAAAGUCUGGAGGUAGAGCACGAUUGACUAGGGUUCCUCAUCGGAUUACCGAAUUCCAGUCCAAACUCCGAAUGCCAGAGACUUUUUCCUUAGAGUCAGACUGCGAUGAUAAGAUCCCGUAGUCAAAAGGAAACAGCCCAGACCGCCAGCUAAGUCCCAAAGUGUGUAUAAGUGAAAAGGAUGUGGAGUUUGCUUAGAAACUAGGAGUUGGCUUAGAAGCAGCCACACAUUGAAAGAGCUGCGUAAUAGCUACUAGUCGAUGACUCUGCGCCGAAAAUGUUACCGGGGCAAAUACACCACCGAAGCUGCGGAUUGAUACGGAGUAUCAUGUAGGGAGCUUUCUAAGGACAGUGAGUCAGACCGUAAGGACUGGUGGGUGCUUGAUUGAGAAUGCCGGUAUGAGUAGCGAAAGACGGUGAGAAUCCCGUCCACCGAAUGCCUAAGUUUCCUGAGGAAGGCCUCGUCCGCUUCAGGUUAAGUCAGGACUAAGCCGAGGCCGACAGGCGGAGGCGAUGACAAAACAGGUUGAUAUCCUGUACACCUCUUUAUCGGUUUGAGCAAUGAGGACGCCAGAAGAUUAGAAGAAGCGUGCGAUUGGUUGUGCACGUCCAAGCAGUUAGGCUGAUAAGAGGCAAAUCCGCUUAUCUAUAAAGGCUGGCUGUGAUGUGGAAGCUCCCUUAUGAGCGAAGUUCUUAUGCCCCGCUGCCAAGAAAAGCUCUAGCGAGAUAAAAGGUCCUGUACCGCAAACGACACAGGUAGGCGAGGAGAGAAUCCUAAGGUGUGCGAAGAACUCUGGUUAAGGAACUCGGCAAAGACCCCGUAAUUCGGGAAAGGGUGUUUCCUUAACGGAAAGCCGCAGUGAUAGGCCCAAGCGACGUUUAGCAAAAACACAGCUCUCUGCCGCAAGCCGUAAGGCAAGUAUAGGGGUGACACCUGCCCGUGCUGCGAAAGGUUAAGGAGAGGGUUAGCGGAAGCGAAGCUUCUUAACAUGAACCCCAGUAAACGGCGGCCGUAAACUAUAACGGUCCUUAAGGUAGCGAUUCUUGUCGGGUAAGUUCCGGACCCGCCACGAAAAGGUUUAACGAUUUGCGGCACGUCUUCCAACCAGAGACUCGGUGAAAGUAUAGUACCUGUGAAGCAUCAGGUUACCGCGACAGACGAAAAGACCCCGGGAGCUUUACUGUUAAGCCUGAUAUUGAAUUGGUACAGUUGUACAGAUAGGCGGAGCCAUUGAAACCGGAGCGCUAGCUCGGUGGAGGCGCCUGUGGAGGAACCGCCCUGACUGUAUUGAAUAAUUCUAACCUACGCGGUCUUAUCGACCCGGGAGACAGUGUCAGGUGGGGCAGUUGGACGGGCGUUCGGCCUCUAAAGUGUAACGGAGGCGCCCAAAGGUUCCCUCAGAAAUGGUUGGAAAUCAUUACGUAGAGCUGCAAAGGCAUAAGGGAGCGUGACUGCGAGGACCUAACAGUCGAGCAGGACGAAAGUCGGCUUAUUGAUCCGGUUGGUUGCCGCAUGGAAGGGCCACGCCUUCAACGGAUCAAAAGGCUUACCCCGGAUAAACAGCUUAUCUCCCAAGAGUCCACAGGCGAACGGAGGUUGGCACCUCGAUGUCGGCUCAUCGCAUCCUGGGCUGAGUCGUCCCAAGGGUUGGCUGUUCGCCCAUUAAAGCGGUACGCGAAGCUGGGGUUAAACUCGUGAGACAGGUCCGGUCCCUAUCCGUCGUGGGCGUAGAAUUGUGGAGAGGAGCUGUCCUUAGUACGAGAGGACCGGAUGGACGCACCGCUGGUUACCAGUUGUUCUGCCAAGGGCAUAGCUGGGUAGCUAGUGCGGAAGCGGAAUAAAGCUCGAAAAGCAUCUAAAGCAUGAAGCCCCCCUCAAGAUGAGAUUUUCCCCAUAGCGUAGCUAAGAAGGAUCCCUGAAGAUGAUCAGGUUGAUAGGUUCGAGUGAAGCAUCUGUGACAUUGUUGGAGCGACGAAUACUAAUAGAUCGGAGGACUUACCA